Molecule: long non-coding RNA, 3112 nt
Organism: Meriones unguiculatus (Mongolian gerbil)
Lineage: Eukaryota; Metazoa; Chordata; Mammalia; Rodentia; Muridae
Exons: 2
Source: RefSeq, a predicted model, not a curated record
AUUCUUCUAAUUCCUGCAGAGCGGUAUAUUUUUAAAAACAGCAGCAAUGUCCCUGCAAUAGACAAUUAAAGGAAUAUAAACUCCAGUGGGCUGAAACUAGUAGCUCUUUGGGGAAUGCAGUGGCAGGCAGAGGUUUCUACAAAUACCAACACUUAAAAAAAAAUAAUAGAGAGCAUCAUACCAAAAACAAAGAAAGAAGACGAGGAAUGUUAACAUGUGGAUUAUAUUUGUUUCGUUUGGGGGGUAAUGAACUAAAGAGAAUGAAGAAGCCAUCGGUAAUUUCUCCCCUCAUUAAUGAAGUCACCUUUAUAUGUGUUUGUUUCUCUCCUCUAAUUGUGAAGAUGGGUGUUGUCACUUUUGAAGGGGUUAAUCAAUUAUUUUGUAGCUCUGAUCUUUCCCUUGCACCUGACAGAAAGGAAAGGUGGUUGUUAGGGAAGAUGUGAGGAUUGAGGCUAUCUGGGGGAAGACAGUGGGUUCUUUGUAGACCUUCUACAUGCACAACAUAUUAAUUGCGGGCUUUUGAAAGUUCCCUCAAUAGGCUAUUUCAUUCUUGGUAAAACAGCAGCUGGUUAGUCGCUGUUGGAGACUCUUCAAAUAUCACUUUAACGAUUUUCGUUCUGCUGCUGUCCAUUUGUUUUUCCUCAGUCAAGAACGAGAAUGCAAUGCCACCCUUCCUUUCCUGAGGUCCUUUCUCUUCUGUCUUCUUCUCGUCCAGUUUUCAAGCUGUGAAACAAUGUUGGUUUAAUAUUGAACCCUGGUGCACAGCGUAACCACACAACUUGAUUCGGAAGUGAGAUGCUGGUUUAUAUUUAAAUUAUCUCCACUCCUCCCUUACCCUCCAAAGCUUUGUCUCUGCUAUGAAUAUUCAGAUGAGGCUGUGAUGUGAUUACACUGCACAAUUACUCCUAUCCGUGGUGGUGGCAGGGGCUUGUGGGGAGAAAGAGCCAGGCAGCCCCCAAGCCAGUGCGGAGUUUUGUUUUCAGGAUUUUUUUCCCUAUCUCCUGGCGCUGCGGCUCAUGCAGAUGUCGCUGUUGUUCUUUAUAAAGCUCUAAUGACAUGCAAGGGCAUAACGACUUGGUUUGGACGCAAAGCAUCAACUGGAUGUUAUGGGUGUCUUUAAGAAAGAGAAAGAGAAAAUCCUGACUGAAGGAAUGUCCACAUAAAUUAUUUUUAUUUAAAUGAAUUCAAAGGAUGGGGUGAGGGCGAGUGAGAAGGAGUCACAUGGAAAACAUGCAUAAUAUUAAUAUGCACAAAGAAUUCUUACGGAGGAGAAGCCCCUCACUACAGCUCAUGGGACAAACAGGUCCAUUAGGAGACAGCUCUGAGUGACUACAGCAUUUUGCUAUUUCAACUUUUCCCUUAUUUUAAAUGGAGAGUUAGACAGAUGUGUUUUCUUUGCAUGACAGCAUUGAGAUGGAUCCAAUCUGUGAAAUUUGCUGCCCAAAUAGCAUUUCUAAUGGAGUCUGGGACUAAACAAGGGCUUGGAUGUGGAAGGGAGGGGAGAAGAGAGAACACACGAAGAGGAGGCUACUCAGCCACUGCAAAGCAUUUUGUAGCACAGGAAGCUGUCAGAAGCCAUCUUUGCUCCACUGGUCCCAGGUGUGGGCUCCCGAUCCAGAGGGCCAUCAGGGUUCACCAAGAUGAGCGCUGAGACAGGCCCUUGUAGGUCUGAGGCAGAGGAAAACCGCAGCAACUUGGUGCCUGGCCCCUACCUCCUCAGCUGUCUUCAGCUCGGAAGCCAAAAGCACAGCUACUAUUUUGGGAUGCAGUAGAAUGCCUCUUGGUCCAGGCAUUUGUGGAAGAAGGAAUUCUUGGUGCUAUCGCAGAAUAUGUUGCUAAAGAGCAGAUGGGAUCAUUCGCUGCUUAAGGAGGCCCGAUAAUUGCUGUGCCGGUUAAUUCUCAGGUGAUCUGGAAAGUCUUUGGAAAAGAAAACCGAGGUUUUUCUAGGAAAAAAAAAUCGACAAAAUAUGUUUUUAAAAAAUCUGGAUUUACACAAGGGCAUGGGAUUAUGAUCUCUUGUGGAAGAAAAUAAACAAGGCCACCCCCCUACCACCUGUUUCUACGAAGAGGCACUGUGCAGACCACCCCAGGACAGAGAGGACCAACAGAGCACGGCAGCCUGACAUAGCUGAGGAGGCAGAGACAAACGCGGAUGCAUGACAGCGAGUGUUGCCCCAAGAGGAGGGAGAAGCAAUGAGGAGGAAAUCACAAUGCUGCCUUGGGGUUUCCAAGUGGCAAUCCUCUAGCUUCCUAGCCUUAUUUAUUCACAUUCUUACAAACUGAGGACUCUAAAGAAAUGUUAUUAAGACAACUUAAGACAAUAUUUGUGUGCUAUAACUUAAAGCUAGUAAUUGUCUAAAAUAAGUAUCAAUCCAUUUUAACAUAAAAGACAUCCAGAUGUUGUGUUUUAAUAAAAAAAUAAGUAAUUUUGUAAAAUAAUAUCAAUGACAAUGGUAGUUUUACUUUACUUUUUUUGGCAAUUCUUGUAUUUUUCUAACUUGAUAGAAAACAUCUGUGUUUUUUAUUUGCUUUGGGACUCAAUUUGUUCUGUUAUCAUAUGCCACAGAGCUUCUAGAAACCUCCAUUGUACAUACCUCUGAGAAAAUGAAGGUAGAAAAGCAAACAACAUCUUCCUAUAGUAUUGAAAACAGUCUUUAAAACAUAGUCUUGGUGUUAUUACAAAGUUGUAUCAUUAGUGUAAGCUUGUAUCAGCCCUGAGUCUUUGGAUAAACACUAACCUACGUGUAUAGAAGGUGGAACUACACAGAGAAGGCAUGAGCCCCCAGGGAAUGAAAACUGAGCAACACACAGAGCAUACAGGCCAGAAGACAGUCCACUUCUAACCAGCCCAGCCCAGAAAGGCUUGGGGGUCAUGUUCAGAACAUUCACAGACCCUCCAAAAGUGCCACGCUUAGCUAGCAGUAACUGUAAACAAAUUCUUAGAUUGACAAAACAGGUUCUCAUACCUCGAAAACAAACAGAUCCAGAAGCAAGUUUACCUACUUUGUACACACUGCCAAGAAGGGAGACGGCAGCACCUAGAGUCAAACCCUUAAUACUCAUAAUGUCCAGCAUCCAAGGGGAAAAGAAAAAAAAAAAAACAAAAAAACAA